UCGAGAAUCUUUCGCAAUGGGGGAAACCCUGACGACGCGACGCCGCGUGAGCGAUGAAGGCCUUCGGGUUGUAAAGCUCUGUCACUGGGGAAGAACAAUAUAGGUAUUAAUAACACUUAUAUUCGACACUACCCGGAGAGGAAGCCCCGGCUAACUCCGUGCCAGCAGCCGCGGUAAUACGGAGGGGGCAAGCGUUGUUCGGAUUUACUGGGCGUAAAGGGUGCCUAGGUGGAUAAGUAAGUGGAACGUGAAAUCCUGAGGCUUAACUUCAGAACUGCGUUUCAAACUGCUUGUCUUGAGUAUGGGAAAGGUAAGUAGAAUUCUCAGUGUAGCGGUGAAAUGCGUAGAUAUUGAGAAGAAUACCAUAAGUGAAGACGGCUUACUGGCCCAAUACUGACACUAAAGCACGAAGGCUAGGGGAGCAAACAGG
RNAcentral lists this ribosomal RNA (430 nucleotides) under uncultured bacterium. RNAcentral describes it as "partial 16S ribosomal RNA". It matches the Rfam family "Bacterial small subunit ribosomal RNA", at positions 355 to 776 of the family's 1533-position model. The record is from RNAcentral.